This 72-nucleotide transfer RNA is filed under the name Ovis aries (sheep). It matches the Rfam family "tRNA". From Rfam's summary of the family: Transfer RNA (tRNA) molecules are approximately 80 nucleotides in length. Their secondary structure includes four short double-helical elements and three loops (D, anti-codon, and T loops). Lineage: Eukaryota; Metazoa; Chordata; Mammalia; Artiodactyla; Bovidae. The record is from Rfam by way of RNAcentral.
UCCCUGGUGGCUCAGAUGGUAAAGAAUCUGCCUGCAAUGCAGAAGACCAGGGAUCAAUCCCUGGUUUGGGAA